Molecule: small nucleolar RNA, 140 nt
Filed under: Ornithorhynchus anatinus (platypus)
Lineage: Eukaryota; Metazoa; Chordata; Mammalia; Monotremata; Ornithorhynchidae
Source: RNAcentral
AGCCCCUCUCAGGGUCGCACCUGGAGAGUUUCCAGUACUCUACCAGUCUCGGCUCCGGGAGGGACAGUCAAGCAGAGGCCUACUCAUUCCAUUCCUAGUUUGGGCAGUGGCUAGCGAGUGGAAGGCCAUCUGCUACAAGU